RNAcentral lists this ribosomal RNA (408 nucleotides) under uncultured bacterium. RNAcentral describes it as "partial 16S ribosomal RNA". It matches the Rfam family "Bacterial small subunit ribosomal RNA", at positions 28 to 526 of the family's 1533-position model. The record is from RNAcentral.
GACGAACGCUGGCGGCGUGCUUAACACAUGCAAGUCGAACGAAGUGGCGAACGGGUGAGUAACGCGUAAUCAACCUGCCCUUCAGAGGGGGACAACAGUUGGAAACGACUGCUAAUACCGCAUACUGAAGGAGGGGAUUGCGUCUGAUUAGCUAGUUGGGGGGGUAACGGCCCACCAAGGGAGUGAUCAGGAGCCGGUCAGGGAGGAUGAACAGCCACAUUGGGACUGGGACCAGGCCCAGAAUCCUAAGGGAGGAAGCAGUGGGGAAUCUUCCGCCAAGGACGAAAGUCUGACGGAGCAACGCCGCGGGAGUGGUGACGGGCCUCGGGUUUUAAAACUAUGUUAAUCGGGACGCGGUACCGGAAUAGAAAGCCACGGCUAACUACGUGCCAGCCGCCGCGGUAAUAC